UCGAGAAUUUUUCACAAUGGGCGAAAGCCUGAUGGAGCGACGCCGCGUGGGGGAUGAAUGGCUUCGGUCCGUAAACCCCUGUCAUUCGGGAACAAUGCCUGCGGAAUAACACUUCGCAGGUUGAUAGUACUGGAAGAGGAAGGGACGGCUAACUCUGUGCCAGCAGCCGCGGUAAUACAGAGGUCCCAAGCGUUGUUCGGAUUCACUGGGCGUAAAGGGUGCGUAGGUGGCCGGGUAAGUCUGAUGUGAAAUCUCGAAGCCUAACUUCGAAACUGCAUCGGAUACUACUUGGCUAGAGGUCUGGAGGGGGGACUGGAAUUCUCGGUGUAGCAGUGAAAUGCGUAGAUAUCGAGAGGAACGCCAAUGGCGAAGGCUAGUCCCUGGACAGAUCCUGACACUGAGGCACGAAAGCUAGGGGAGCAAACAGG
RNAcentral lists this ribosomal RNA (428 nucleotides) under uncultured Verrucomicrobiota bacterium. RNAcentral describes it as "bacterial SSU rRNA". It matches the Rfam family "Bacterial small subunit ribosomal RNA", at positions 355 to 776 of the family's 1533-position model. Lineage: Bacteria; Pseudomonadati; Verrucomicrobiota. The record is from RNAcentral.